Toxorhynchites rutilus septentrionalis is the source of this 134-nucleotide small nuclear RNA. RefSeq annotates it as U4 spliceosomal RNA. The record is from RefSeq and is a predicted model, not a curated record. Lineage: Eukaryota; Metazoa; Arthropoda; Insecta; Diptera; Culicidae. The transcript has a single exon.
AGCUUUGCGCAGUGUCGAUAUUGUAACCAAUAAGGUUAUACCGAGUUGCGAUUAUUGCUAAUUGAAAAAAAAUCCUUAUGAAAAGUUUUAUUCUGUUAAUGGUUUUAUAUCAUUCUAAAUAGAUUUUUGUGAGU